Molecule: small nuclear RNA, 104 nt
Organism: Suricata suricatta (meerkat)
Lineage: Eukaryota; Metazoa; Chordata; Mammalia; Carnivora; Herpestidae
Source: Ensembl
GUCAUUGAUCAAUUUCUCACUUUGGAAUUGGAAUGAUAAGGAGAAGCUUAGCAUGACCCUUGGAUAAGGAUCACAUGCAAAUUCAUGAAGGGCUUCCUAUUUCU